This 309-nucleotide long non-coding RNA is filed under the name Mytilus galloprovincialis (Mediterranean mussel). The record is from RNAcentral. Lineage: Eukaryota; Metazoa; Mollusca; Bivalvia; Mytilida; Mytilidae.
CUUGAAUUUUUACUAGAUAACAUUUUUGUUCGCUUUAGGGAUUCCGUAUAUCGUCAGAUUAUCGGAAUUCCAAUGGGGACUAACUGUGCACCACUUAUUGCGGACCUGUUUUUGUAUUGCUAUGAGUUACAAUUGAUGACAAAAAUAAGCAAAGACCCAUCGAAACAACAUCUGAUAAACAAAUUUAAUAAUACUUUUAGAUAUUUGGAUGAUAUUUUGGCUCUCAAUAAUGACGACUUCAGUAUGUAUAUUAAAGAAAUUUAUCCUGUUGAACUUACUUUAAAUAAAGCUAAUACUAACAAUGACCAC